GCACAUUUCCCAGUACACAAACUGGCAGUCACACAGCCAACCAGUGGCUUCACUGGAAAACCCAGCAUCAGACCGAUUGCUACAUGAGACCUAAGUGAACCAGCAGGCAGGUCUAAAUCUUCUCCCAGCAGAAGGGCCGGACUCACCCAGCAGAGGGACCACGGGGGGGAAAUAAGCUACUGGGCCCCCCGAUAACUCCCCCAGUCCUCCCACUACAGACUGUGUGGCGUCACCAGGAGGAGAUCUGUUAUUAUUCUACAUACGAGAAUGAACCCGGUUUAACUUGUGAACAAACGUCAGCUUCAAUGAAACAACGCGGUAGGUUAAAGGUGAGAUUCUGUAUUUUCACAGCUGGACUCUUUAUUUACAUGUUUGGAUGUGUAAAUGAUUCGCGGAGAGGUUUUCCUACGAUGAGCCUUUUUCUUUAAGAGGUGUAAUAAGUGAGAAUUUGCCAUCUUUCCGAACAAGUAAGAGGCAGAACGUCACCAGCUAAUUUGUGCUAAAUGCGGCUGCUGUUAGCACGUUAGCUCAGUAAACCGUACAGCUGACAUUAGCUGAAGAUAGGCGCUAACUGGUUAGCAUGCUAACUUCAAAAGACUUCUCAGCAACACACAGCUUUGACAUGACAACAACACUGUCAGGCAAUUUUCCUUUACAAGUUUAAAUUUGUAUAUUUCACAUCUUUAACCAGAAGCAGCAGCUGUGAUACUUUUCUCCUCCUCACCACCAGACUCCAUUUACAAAAACAGUAAUUUUACCUCACAGAUCAUCAUCAACACUUAAAUCGUCUUUUUUUUUUCACUCUUCCAGCAAUCCAUCAACUCUGCUGUCUGUAAACAUGAUGGAAACUGUUCAUACUGAAUGACAGUUUUUGUUUAAUAAUAUCAUUUUUGUCUCAUUCAAUGAGGAAUCUCGUGAGAGGUUAAGUUAUUAUAGCCAUUGUCUCAUCUAGAGGAUUAAAAAUCAGUUAUAAAAAUCAGCCAUGACUCUAAAAAAUUUAAUUCCCGCUGUCAAGCUCCCCGAGGUAAACUCCUCUCUACAACUCUGACUCACUUUUCCAACAUUGUCUCCCUGCAACAACUCACAUCUCACAAGAUUUCUUUUGUUUCUGGUUACAAAAAGGUUCCUUAUACUUAACAAAACGUUCUCCCUCUGUAGGAAUUGUUUCCAUAAUGUUGCCAGACAGCAGAGUUGGAGAUUGUUGGCGCAGUAAAAAUGGUUUUUCGUGUCGGAUGAGCCGUGUGGUAAAAUUACUGUUUUUAUCAAUGGAGUCUGGUGGUAACGAGGAGAGCGAUCCAGCGUCUGUUUGUAGUUAAACAAGAAGGUUUAAGUAACUUCAACACUGCAGCUGCCAGCUGACGGAGGCGAUCAUCUGAUACGAUGCCCAAACAUUUGCUAAGUGAGAAUCAUUUACACACUGACACACGUACAUCUAGAGCCCAGCUCUGACACAAAUACCAGAACUUCUCUGAAUAUAAUUGUUUGUCAUUUUGCUAACAAGCUGGCCGGCCUCUCACCUCCUCCAGGGUUAGCUGUGUGGUCAUUUUGGUAAAGCACAAAUAAAUCUUGCAACAUGCAACACGUGAGCACAAAACCGAAAUGACGAAGGUCUUUUUUUGGAUCCUCUUCAAGACCUCGGAAUAGAAAAUAAACCUCAACGCCCGUCACAGUUGGGCGUUAUCGGUGCAUAUACCGAGUCGUUUUUUUCAAAA
Molecule: long non-coding RNA, 1712 nt
Organism: Acanthopagrus latus (yellowfin seabream)
Lineage: Eukaryota; Metazoa; Chordata; Actinopteri; Spariformes; Sparidae
Exons: 2
Source: RefSeq, a predicted model, not a curated record